Molecule: transfer-messenger RNA, 357 nt
Filed under: Hydrogenophilales bacterium CG_4_8_14_3_um_filter_62_83
Lineage: Bacteria; Pseudomonadati; Pseudomonadota; Hydrogenophilia; Hydrogenophilales
Description: partial transfer-messenger RNA
Rfam family: transfer-messenger RNA
About the family: Bacterial tmRNA, also known as 10Sa RNA or SsrA, is named for its dual tRNA and mRNA-like properties. Its role is to liberate the mRNA from a stalled ribosome.
Source: RNAcentral
GGGGCCGACUUGGCUUCGACGUGGGUAGCAAAGCAGACGAGUGCAUACCGAGGCCCAGUUCCCUCGUAAAUCCAUCUGGAAAAAAUUAGUCGCCAACGACGAAACGUACGCUCUAGCCGCUUGACGGCUAGACUCCACACCGGCAGGUCCAUGGGCCGGGCUGGGCAACCAGCGGUGGAGUCAUUCACAUGGACUCGCGUUGAAUCGGGCCGCUUGAUUCAACGUUAAACCAAGGUGGCUCGCCUGAAUCCAGCCUGUUCGGCCGGCGUGAUUCGGGUUAAAACCAAAUGACCGGAAUAAGUAUGUAGAUCUUGCUGUAGAGGACUUGCGGACGCGGGUUCGAUUCCCGCCGGCUCC